Molecule: ribosomal RNA, 440 nt
Filed under: uncultured bacterium
Lineage: Bacteria
Description: partial 16S ribosomal RNA
Rfam family: Bacterial small subunit ribosomal RNA
Source: RNAcentral
CCUACGGGGGGCUGCAGUAGGGAAUAUUGCUCAAUGGGGGAAACCCUGAAGCAGCAACGCCGCGUGGAGGAUGAAGGUUUUCGGAUUGUAAACUCCUUUUGUUAGAGAAGAUAAUGACGGUAUCUAACGAAUAAGCACCGGCUAACUCCGUGCCAGCAGCCGCGGUAAUACGGAGGGUGCAAGCGUUACUCGGAAUCCCUGGGCGUAAAGAGCGCGUAGGAGGGAUAGCAAGUCAGAUGUGAAAUCCUAUGGGUUAACCAUAGAACUGCAUUUGAAACUGUUAUUCUAGAGUAUGGGAGAGGUAGGUGGAAUUCGUGGUGUAGGGGUAAAAUCCGUAGAGAUCAAGAGGAAUACUCAUUGCGAAGGCGACCUGCUAGAACAUAACUGACGCUGAGGCGCGAAAGCGUGGGGAGCAAACAGGAUUAGAUACCCUUGUAGUC